CCUACGGGUGGCUGCAGUCAGGAAUAUUGGUCAAUGGCCGUAAGGCUGAACCAGCCAAGUAGCGUGAGGGAAGACUGCACUGUGGGUCGUAAACCUCUUUUAUGAGGGGAUAAAGGUUUCCACGCGUGGAUGUUUGCAGGUACCGCAUGAAUAAGCACCGGCUAAUUCCGUGCCAGCAGCCGCGGUAAUACGGAAGGUGCGGGCGUUAUCCGGAUUUAUUGGGUUUAAAGGGUGCGCAGGCGGAUUUUUAAGUCAGCGGUCAAAUCGUGGGGCUCAACCCCGGCCAGCCGUUGAAACUGGGGGUCUAGAGUGGGCGAGAGGUAUGCGGAAUGCGCGGUGUAGCGGUGAAAUGCAUAGAUAUCGCGCAGAACCCCGAUUGCGAAGGCAGCAUGCCGGUGCCCAACUGACGCUGAGGCACGAAAGCGUGGGUAUCGAACAGGAUUAGAUACCCGGGUAGUC
This 459-nucleotide ribosomal RNA is filed under the name uncultured bacterium. RNAcentral's name for it is "partial 16S ribosomal RNA". It matches the Rfam family "Bacterial small subunit ribosomal RNA", at positions 338 to 795 of the family's 1533-position model. The record is from RNAcentral.